AAGUCGUACGAGAGCUUUUAGCUCUAGUGGCGGACGGGUGAGUAACACGUGGGCAACCUGCCCCAGAGAGCGGGACAACCCGGGGAAACCCGGGCUAAUACCGCAUGAUGCGUCUCCGCUCAAGUGGAGACGCCAAAUGGUAGCUUCGGCCUCCGCUCUGGGAUGGGCCCGCGCCGGAUUAGCUUGUUGGUUGGGGUAAUGGCCCACCAAGGCGACGAUCCGUAGCUGGUCUGAGAGGACGAUCAGCCACACUGGGACUGAGACACGGCCCAGACUCC
RNAcentral lists this ribosomal RNA (278 nucleotides) under unidentified marine bacterioplankton. RNAcentral describes it as "partial 16S ribosomal RNA". It matches the Rfam family "Bacterial small subunit ribosomal RNA", at positions 59 to 339 of the family's 1533-position model. The record is from RNAcentral. RNAcentral also lists the same sequence under 1 other name.